GGGAAGGGGUGACUAGUGGCAGAGUGAGGGAAGGAAGGGGUGACUAGUGACAAAGUGAGGGAGGUGGUGACUGUCACUAGUCACCACCUCCCUCUGUCACUAGUCACCACCUCCCUCUGUCACUACUCCCUCCCUCACUCUGUCACCUGUCACCCCCUCCCUCACUCUGUCACCUGUCACCCCCUCACUCUGUCACUAGUCACCCCCUUACUCUGUCACCUGUCACCCCCUUACUC
Pelobates cultripes (western spadefoot toad) is the source of this 236-nucleotide non-coding RNA. The record is from the annotation of a GenBank genome assembly. Lineage: Eukaryota; Metazoa; Chordata; Amphibia; Anura; Pelobatidae.